This 361-nucleotide unclassified non-coding RNA is filed under the name soil metagenome. RNAcentral's name for it is "partial contains 5.8S ribosomal RNA, internal transcribed spacer 2, and large subunit ribosomal RNA". The stretch from base 1 to 120 matches the Rfam family "5.8S ribosomal RNA", at positions 35 to 154 of the family's 154-position model. The record is from RNAcentral.
GAUGAAGAACGCAGCGAAAUGCGAUAAGUAAUGUGAAUUGCAGAAUUUAGUGAAUCAUCGAAUCUUUGAACGCAUAUUGCGCCCGCCAGCACUCUGGCGGGCAUGCCUGUUCGAGCGUCAUUUCAACCCUCAGGCCUCGCGUCUGGCGUUGGGGCGCUGCGGCCCUCCCGCAGGCCCCCAAAUUUAGCGGCGGAUUCCCCGCGGCCCUGAGCGCAGUAGAGAGUAAAAACUUUAACGCUCCGGCGGCCGUGGCGCGGUUCUGCCUCUUUCCCAAUAGCGCCAAUAGCGCCACCCCCAAAAAAGUUGACCUCGGAUCAGGUAGGAAUACCCGCUGAACUUAAGCAUAUCAAUAAGCGGAGGA